ACUCAAAUGAAUUGACGGGGACCCGCACAAGCGGUGGAGCAUGUGGUUUAAUUCGAAGCAACGCGAAGAACCUUACCAGGUCUUGACAUCCCUCUGACCGGUCCGUAACGGGACCUUUCCUUCGGGACAGAGGAGACAGGUGGUGCAUGGUUGUCGUCAGCUCGUGUCGUGAGAUGUUGGGUUAAGUCCCGCAACGAGCGCAACCCUUAUCCUUAGUAGCCAGCACGUUAUGGUGGGCACUCUAGGGAGACUGCCAGGGAUAACCUGGAGGAAGGCGGGGAUGACGUCAAAUCAUCAUGCCCCUUAUGAUCUGGGCUACACACGUGCUACAAUGGUGGCUACAAAGAGACGCAACCCUGCGAAGGUGAGCAAAUCUCAGAAAAGCCAUCCCAGUUCGGAUUGUAGUCUGCAACUCGACUACAUGAAGCUGGAAUCGCUAGUAAUCGCGAAUCAGAAUGUCGCGGUGAAUACGUUCCCGGGUCUUGUACACACCGCCCGU
RNAcentral lists this ribosomal RNA (499 nucleotides) under uncultured bacterium. RNAcentral describes it as "partial 16S ribosomal RNA". It matches the Rfam family "Bacterial small subunit ribosomal RNA", at positions 899 to 1397 of the family's 1533-position model. The record is from RNAcentral.